UACAGAGGGUGCAAGCGUUGUUCGGAAUUACUGGGCGUAAAGGGCGUGUAGGCGGUUUAGCAAGUCAGAUGUGAAAUCCCCGGGGCUCAACCUCGGGCCUGCAGUCGAUACGAGCAAACUAGAGUGUUGCAGGGGAGACUGGAAUUCCUGGUGUAGCGGUGAAAUGCGCAGAUAUCAGGAGGAACACCGGUGGGCGAAGGCGGGUCUCUGGGCAGUAACUGACG
RNAcentral lists this ribosomal RNA (224 nucleotides) under uncultured bacterium. Its description in RNAcentral is "partial 16S ribosomal RNA". It matches the Rfam family "Bacterial small subunit ribosomal RNA", at positions 524 to 745 of the family's 1533-position model. The record is from RNAcentral.